RNAcentral lists this long non-coding RNA (435 nucleotides) under Panax ginseng (ginseng). RNAcentral's name for it is "long non-coding RNA (PGIN_LNC013998)". Lineage: Eukaryota; Viridiplantae; Streptophyta; Magnoliopsida; Apiales; Araliaceae. The record is from RNAcentral.
UCGGGUUAAAUCUAUAUAAACAAAACCCAAGUUACUGAAAAUUACUAAAAUUAAGUUGCUCACUUAUUAAGAAUAGGUUGGAUGGAUUUGACCUAUUUUGGGGGCAUCACAACAAGUUUUUGACAUCUCGCAUCCAACAUACUCCUCACAUACUUCCUGCACUUGUACUCCAUCCGUCCCUGCAUAUAUAUAUACACACACAUGGUGCAGUUUUAGUUUUAUGCGUGCGGUUUUGGCUAAUAACCAAAUCAAAACUGUAACUUUGGUUUUUUAACCCACCUAAAACCGCCACAUACGUCGGAACCAUUGGUGCAGUUUUAAUUGGUACAUUUUGUGCGAUUUUUAGUGCGAUUUUGGUUCGAAUUUGGUUCCUUACUCGACCCUAAUUUUUAGUAUCAAUAUUUUGAUAUUUUUUUUUGGUAUCGGUAGCAGUAG